UCCCUAAGCCGAGGCCGAAAGGCGUAGGCAAUGGAAAACAGGUCAACAUUCCUGUACCACCCGACAAUCGUUUGAGAGAAGGGGGGACGCAGAAGGGUAGAUCAGCCAUCUGUUGGAUGGUGGUUCAAGCUCGUAGGCGAAAAGGAUAGGCAAAUCCGUCCUUUUAUUUAAACGCUGAGAAGCGACGAGUAUCUAAUUUAUUAGAGAACUGAUUGAUCCCAUGCUGCCAAGAAAAACCUCAAA
This 243-nucleotide ribosomal RNA is filed under the name Ctenophora environmental sample. RNAcentral's name for it is "partial Bacterial large subunit ribosomal RNA". It matches the Rfam family "Bacterial large subunit ribosomal RNA", at positions 1390 to 1624 of the family's 2925-position model. Lineage: Eukaryota; Metazoa; Ctenophora. The record is from RNAcentral.